CUCAGAGAGAUUUCUCUAAGUGAUUCUCCGUUUGAUGUUCGUUGAUUCUGUCUCACGUACAAUUUAUCCUCCUUGCAUAUCAGCAUUUUGGGCCCUCGGAUUUGGAUUUGAUGCAGCCUCCACAAUGAGUGCCACCUUCAUCAAUGGCGUCCUUGGCCCCCAGAAAAAACCGCCAAGCCAAUGGAUAUGUGUAGAGGGCCGCAAUGAGGCAGACGGCAGCGGGUGGCAGCAAUAGGGGUUGACGGAUGCUCCGAGACCAUGAAGAGCCUAUUCAAUGAUGAGAAGGAUGACAUAGCGAAUGAGGAUUCCGACAUGGUAGCUCCCACAAUCGCGCAGUUGGAGAGCAUGCACGAGUUCGGUAAACUAUGUAUUCUAUUGGUAUAGCUCUGAAAGGUUAGGAUGCUUUGGGUCGCGGCCUGAACUAUGUAUCUGUGGAUAUUAUUACACUUUCAGCAUGCUAUUUCCUAUUUUUUAGACAUCAAUUUCUGUGAAUUGUGGCUGAACUAUGAUACUUUAGGUUGCAUGCUCAACUAUGUGUAGUGUCAUUACUGCUUUCUCCCCUGAUUGUAUUGUCCUUGCCAUGUUAUCCCCUAAAGGCUUACUCUUGCCAUGUUAUUCCCUAAAUUAUUACUCAUUUCUUCUUUUGCCAGUGCUCCACUUAUGCAUCAUGUAUUUAGUACUCCC
Triticum dicoccoides is the source of this 684-nucleotide long non-coding RNA. RefSeq lists it as uncharacterized. The transcript has 3 exons. Lineage: Eukaryota; Viridiplantae; Streptophyta; Magnoliopsida; Poales; Poaceae. The record is from RefSeq and is a predicted model, not a curated record.